Molecule: transfer RNA, 62 nt
Filed under: Bathymodiolus aduloides
Lineage: Eukaryota; Metazoa; Mollusca; Bivalvia; Mytilida; Modiolidae
Description: tRNA-Ser
Source: RNAcentral
GAUCAGUAUACGCCCCUGUUUUGAAAACAGGGCUAGAGUUUUUAAAUAACACUCACUGGUUU